This 465-nucleotide ribosomal RNA is filed under the name uncultured Klebsiella sp. RNAcentral describes it as "bacterial SSU rRNA". It matches the Rfam family "Bacterial small subunit ribosomal RNA", at positions 338 to 795 of the family's 1533-position model. Lineage: Bacteria; Pseudomonadati; Pseudomonadota; Gammaproteobacteria; Enterobacterales; Enterobacteriaceae. The record is from RNAcentral.
CCUACGGGAGGCUGCAGUGGGGAAUAUUGCACAAUGGGCGCAAGCCUGAUGCAGCCAUGCCGCGUGUGUGAAGAAGGCCUUCGUGUUGUAAAGCACUUUCAGCGGGGAGGAAGGCGGUGAGGUUAAUAACCUCAUCGAUUGACGUUACCCGCAGAAGAAGCACCGACUAACUCCGUGCCAGCAGCCGCGGUAAUACGGAGGGUGCAAGCGUUAAUCGGAAUUACUGGGCGUAAAGCGCACGCAGGCGGUCUGUCAAGUCGGAUGUGAAAUCCCCGGGCUCAACCUGGGAACUGCAUUCGAAACUGGCAGGCUAGAGUCUUGUAGAGGGGGGUAGAAUUCCAGGUGUAGCGGUGAAAUGCGUAGAGAUCUGGAGGAAUACCGGUGGCGAAGGCGGCCCCCUGGACAAAGACUGACGCUCAGGUGCGAAAGCGUGGGGAGCAAACAGGAUUAGAUACCCCGGUAGUC